Molecule: non-coding RNA, 1073 nt
Organism: Doryrhamphus excisus (bluestripe pipefish)
Lineage: Eukaryota; Metazoa; Chordata; Actinopteri; Syngnathiformes; Syngnathidae
Source: RefSeq, a predicted model, not a curated record
UAAGAUAUAUAAAAUAUUUCUCUCAUUAUUAAAGUUUGUGUUGUGCACGCUAAAGAUCUCUGAUAACAGACACGGCUGCUCCGAUCUGCUCUGUUAGUCUGCGCAUGCUCGGAGAAAGCGCGCGCACACAUACCGGGCUGAUGGCUGAAUGAAAUUCCUCCAAACACAAUGGGACUGAAUUGCCAACGUUGCCAUUAAAGCGGUGUUGGUAACAGCUGUACUACAUCAACAGCUCCCUAAUUCCAACGACUCGGAGACUGAGCGAUGUGGCGGCAAACGGCCAGGGAAAAUAGUGGGGCUGAUGUCCGGGUAACUCGGACUGUCGUCAUCCAGAAGCAUUGAUGGGCCAUCCACUGACUCCUCUUCUUCAUCAAGCUGCGAUUCGACAUGCUCUGGGCACAUCUGGUGUUCGAUGCCAUUUUGGCUCAGGUUGCAGUGCACAGCUGUGUGGCAGUCUAGAAAUGGAACACCUAGUACAAAACCCUCGGACCACCGGUGUAAAGAAUCCAUUUGAUGUGAUGUCAACCUUGCCCCGUCCUCGCUUCCUCCAUAGAUAUCUAAUCACAGUGUGACCCAACCACAUCCCGAGCUGCGGACCCAUUAGAAUUCCCAGGAAUAUACACAAGUGAGCAGUGAGCCGUGUUUUGAACCCAAUUGAGAUGCAUGGCACGAAGCACUGCUCCCUCUUCAUUGCUCCUUUCUCCUCUCUGCUCCGAGCUCACUCUUCCAUCCCCUCUUCUCACCCCAAACCUAAUUGAGGAUUGAUACGCAAGGAGAAAUUAACAGUGGUUUUUCCUCUAAAAAAGGAUCAGUGACUUAAGAUGUAAAAAGACUAAAAAAGGACACAAAAGGACAUGACAAGAUGAUGACACGAGGUUAAAAAAAGACUGCGUCAGGACUGAUGCAUUGCUUUCCUACAAUGGGACUCGUGGGAAGAAAGGAGGAGCAAAGAUUUUUAUUUUUUUUUUUUAAAUCAGCAACAGUCGCUAUAAAUAGCAUCAUUACAUUCUUCAGUCUCUCCGUCCUGACAUGCGCUGUGCAAGCACUGAGACGGAAGCCACACAGAUGAGGAA